GACGAACGCUGGCGGCGUGCUUAACACAUGCAAGUCGAGCGACGCUCUUCCUUCGGGGAGAUGACGGAGCGGCGAACGGGUGAGUAACACGUGGGCAACCUGCCCCUAGCUCUGGGACAACACCGGGAAACCGGUGCUAAUACCGGAUACGACAUCGAGCGGCAUCUCUCGAUGUGGAAAGUUUUUUCGGCUAGGGAUGGGCCCGCGGCCUAUCAGCUUGUUGGUGGGGUAAUGGCCCACCAAGGCGACGACGGGUAGCCGGCCUGAGAGGGCGACCGGCCACACUGGGACUGAGACACGGCCCAGACUCCUACGGGAGGCAGCAGUGGGGAAUAUUGCGCAAUGGGCAAAAGCCUGACGCAGCGACGCCGCGUGAGGGAUGACGGCCUUCGGGUUGUAAACCUCUUUCAGCAGGGACGAAUUCAGACGGUACCUGCAGAAGAAGCACCGGCCAACUACGUG
RNAcentral lists this ribosomal RNA (462 nucleotides) under uncultured bacterium. Its description in RNAcentral is "partial 16S ribosomal RNA". It matches the Rfam family "Bacterial small subunit ribosomal RNA", at positions 28 to 507 of the family's 1533-position model. The record is from RNAcentral.